Molecule: unclassified non-coding RNA, 1535 nt
Filed under: Hevea brasiliensis (rubber tree)
Lineage: Eukaryota; Viridiplantae; Streptophyta; Magnoliopsida; Malpighiales; Euphorbiaceae
Source: RNAcentral
AAACGGAAGGUUUUCUAAAGGUAAGGUUUUUAGAUAUUUUAAAAUCUCCAAUUUGGUGGAUUAAAGAAACCUUCAUACGGUAAGUCCAAUGCAUACACAUACAGGAAUCAAGUGAAGUAACGAACACAUCAUCAAGUAAAAGACUUGGCCAUAAAAUCAACUGGCGUAAGUGAUAAAAAAUAAUGCCUAAUGAAAUCAUCAGCAACAUCAACAUGCAUACACAGCAAAGGAUAUAAGAAACAUACUUUUAAUACACAACGAAGCCAAGCGUAUUCCUCGGCCACAAAAUCCACAAGUCCAAGUACACAAACUUGCCAACAACAUUAUUCUGCUAAAAAAGAAAUGCCAAAAUGGCAAUCAACGAUGAUGCAAAGUACUUAGUCAGGACAUGUGCAGAGAACAAUAAUGUCAGCUUAAACAAUGCAGUCAAAUCAACGGAAGAAUUGUUUGCCCCAUAUGACCAAAAGUCAUUUGAUGGUUAGCUAUUGAAUAUCAAUAAUGCCAUUACAAGCAUGAAGCUUUUUGUGAAAUUAGCUUCUUAUGCAUUGAUCACAGCCUUUAGCAUGAAUGUAUUGCCAAAGUUCAAAUAGUUCUUAAGCACAAAGGGCAAAAAGACUUCAUUUGCUCAAAAUCUCACAAUCAAAUGGCACCUGGUCCACCUCUAAAAUAUAUACUAGCAUUGGCAAGAUACAAACAGCACAUUGUUUUUACGCAUUAAAAAAUCGCUACUUCAUAUAAUGAAGAGCUAAAGCAAUAACAAAAUCAAUGAUUUCCUAGCCAUCCCAAACUAACAGCCAACAACAAGAAAUGAGCGAUGUUCAAGUUAGACAUCACAUUACUUAAGCCUUUCUCAUUAGUAUAGAAAAUCUUGAACAACUUACAUCCUCAAUUACAGCCUAGAUUACGCAAAUAAAGCUUAAAAGGAAAGUUCCGAUAAACCAAUUCAAGAAAACGCAUUUAACAUAAAGAUUUCUCCAAAAUAUAUACAAGGUUUUAGCCGUGACACGCAUUAUGAUAGUAACAUCACAUAAUGUUGCUUAGAAUACUAAGAAUACCGUAACCCCACAAGCAAUAUUACGAAGUACAAGUCAAAGACAAAAGCAGAGCACAAGCAUAUGCCUACUCUUGAGCUUGACAAUCAUAUCUCCUAUCACAGUAUAUGGGUAAGUCCUCGAGAACAACAUAAAGUAUAACCCUUAAAGCUCAUACGUGAAAAUAAACGAAGUACUACUCCUUGCAUGCUUGUGACACAAAAUACACCUAGUGUAAUGCUAGGCACAAAAUCAAUAUCAAAAAGAAGACAUGUCAAAGAUAUUCAUCACCUACUAAAAUUUGGAGUCUCACUAUGCAAACAUGAAUUUGCUUUGUCUCAAUUAGCAUACUCUACUCACAACAAAACACUAUCAAGUCUUUGGGCAACAUCAAUGGUCGCCUAGUUAGCAAAGGAGUAUCCACUCAUCAAAAGUAGAAAUUGACACACCAAAAUUUGAAGUCCCACAAUGCGAAAAUGAGUAUGCUAAUUGAGACAAAACGAC